Molecule: ribosomal RNA, 497 nt
Filed under: uncultured bacterium
Lineage: Bacteria
Description: partial 16S ribosomal RNA
Rfam family: Bacterial small subunit ribosomal RNA
Source: RNAcentral
GAUGAACGCUGGCGGCGUGCCUAAUACAUGCAAGUCGAGCGAACAGACGAGGAGCUUGCUCCUCUGACGUUAGCGGCGGACGGGUGAGUAACACGUGGAUAACCUACCUAUAAGACUGGGAUAACUUCGGGAAACCGGAGCUAAUACCGGAUAAUAUAUUGAACCGCAUGGUUCAAUAGUGAAAGACGGUUUUGCUGUCACUUAUAGAUGGAUCCGCGCGGCAUUAGCUAGUUGGUAAGGUAACGGCUUACCAAGGCGACGAUGCGUAGCCGACCUGAGAGGGUGAUAGGCCACACUGGAGCUGAGACGCGGUCCAGACGCCUACGGGAGGCAGCAGUAGGGAAUCUUCCGCAAUAGGCGAAAGCCUGACGGAGCAACGCCGCGUGAGUGAUGAAGAUCUUCGGAUCGUAAAACUCUGUUAUUAGGGAAGAACAAAUGUGUAAGUAACUAUGCACGUCUUGACGGUACCUAAUCAGAAAGCCACGGCUAACUACGUG